Molecule: non-coding RNA, 74 nt
Organism: Mesoplodon densirostris (Blainville's beaked whale)
Lineage: Eukaryota; Metazoa; Chordata; Mammalia; Artiodactyla; Ziphiidae
Source: the annotation of a RefSeq genome assembly
UCCCCUGGUAGUCCAGUGGUUAAGACUCCGUGCUCACAAUGCAGGGGGCCCAGGUUCGAUCCCUGGUCAGGGAA